RNAcentral lists this ribosomal RNA (253 nucleotides) under uncultured bacterium. Its description in RNAcentral is "partial 16S ribosomal RNA". It matches the Rfam family "Bacterial small subunit ribosomal RNA", at positions 524 to 776 of the family's 1533-position model. The record is from RNAcentral.
UACAGAGGGUGCGAGCGUUAAUCGGAAUUACUGGGCGUAAAGCGCACGUAGGCGGCUUGGUAUGUCGGGUGUGAAAUCCCCGGGCUCAACCUGGGAACUGCAUCCGAAACUGCCUUGCUCGAGUAUGGGAGAGGGAAGUGGAAUUUCCGGUGUAGCGGUGAAAUGCGUAGAUAUCUGGAGGAACACCGGUGGCGAAGGCGGCAUCCUGGACCGACACUGACGCUGAGGCGCGAAAGCUAGGGGAGCAAACGGG